Long non-coding RNA from Ictalurus furcatus (blue catfish), 2552 nucleotides. RefSeq lists it as uncharacterized. The record is from RefSeq and is a predicted model, not a curated record. The transcript has 2 exons. Lineage: Eukaryota; Metazoa; Chordata; Actinopteri; Siluriformes; Ictaluridae.
GUGAUGAGGCUGCAUCGUCCUCCGGUUUGGAGGACGUUCGUGGAAAAGUUUCACCCUGAAUUCCGUGUUGGCAUGCAGGCGGUUUGCUCUUUAUCGUGUGGUGCGAAAGACCGAGGCAGCCUCUCCACUGACUGCUUUCAGAUCUCCAAGCACGGGCUACGUGGACAAGGAAAAGGCUGUGUGGCGCAAAGCAGGCUGCACAGUUGUUGACGGAGUUUGGCGGUGCCCUCAGGGCUGUCCUUGUCUUCAAAGUUGAUGCAUGGCAGGGACCAUGUGUCAAAAAGGGGGAAUGAUAGCUGCGAUAAAGCAUUGGUUUCUCUAAUUACUCUUAAAAAAUAAAUAAAUAAAAAUAAUCAUUUUGUUUACGAUCUUUGCGCAACUCAUAACGUGGGUUGAGGUUUGAAGGUAGAGAAGGCCACGUCCCUACGUCCAAACAGGACUCAGACGCUGUAGUGAUAAUGAUAAUCUCCAGUGAUAAUGCCACACCUUUUGCGAGCCAUUCCCUUAAGUAGGUGGGUGAAUAUAUCUGUAUUGACUUAAAGCAGCACUGUGCAUAUCAUCCAGCUAGUGGUGCGGUGGUAGAGAGUGAAAAUGGGACACUAAAAAACAGAUUGAGCAAAUGCUGUUAUGAAGCAGGCUUAGGAUGGGCUUAGCCCCUUUGGGAUACUGUUUGGGAGGCGUCCACACACAGGAGUUGGGCCUGUGACAGCUCCUCUUCCCGAUGCUGCAGCAUGUGAUGAUGCAAUGUUAAAUUACUGUGCAACCCUGUCCUCUGCUCUGCACUCUAUCCACAAGCAGGUAAAGGCAGCACUUCCAGCUCCAGCCACGGGUCCGCUGCAUGAACUGAAGCCCAGAGAGUGGAUCGUGAUCAAGGACUUCCACAGGACCAGGUGGAACAAGCCAUGGUGGUCGGGGCCAUUCUAGAUCCUUUUUGUCACCCGCUCCAUGGUAAAGGUUAGCCGGAGAGCCACAUGGGUGCAUGCGAGCCACUGCACUGGAGGGUGCCAGAGCCAAGCAUUGAGCUGGAGAGGACGGGAUUGCAAUAGGAGAACUAGACCAUAAUUCUCUAUCAAGAGGCCUCUAGGAGGACCUACGCUCACGAGCAACGAUCUGCAUAUACACGCCCACACACAUGACACAUUACACCCUGACACAUCAACACACCAAUCCCACGCGACUCCACGAUAGACGGUCUUAAGUGAUAUCUGGUAGCCUGCGAAAUCACGAACAUGUAGUUUUUGGAGAAAAUAUUGACGACACGGAAACUGUACUCUUAGGAGGACUGAACUUCAUUAGUGCGUAUUAUAUAGCCGCGUGACCAGGACAGAGGUUAGAUGACGUGACUUUGCUUCCACACCUCUUAAUCCCCAAAGCUCCCUGACCACAGACUACUGUUGAAGACUAGACACAAAUCAUUAGAUGUUGACCUGCACAUCCACUCAUACAUACAAACCUAUUCCUAAUCAUGCACCCUUCCCCUGGUAUAGGUGGUAUCGGUUAGUAAGCCCUGUCAUAGAAGUAAACUCACAAAUCACUGGGACUGUUCCCGACAACACUGGGGGUCCAGGGGUAGACCCUUAAGCUGGAAAGAUAAACCAAAGCGCGAUAUUGAAGUUAUUGGGUGGAAGACUUAUUGAUCAAUCAUGCCAAUCACAUCGUUGCAGCAGAAAGAGUGCAUGACGCACACACUUUUACACAAAUUUGGUAUUUAGCUGAUCGUGGUGACAGGACUAAGUGCCUAAGACGACAUGAUUUCUAUAGGUCCCACAUAAGCUUACGAAGUUCUUUAGUAGACUAUUGCUGCAGAUUGGACGACAAUUAGUAGUUAAAAGCCCGUAUGCCAAGAUAUUGGCCGUCUCUGUAAACCGUUCUGUAUCACCUUUGGUCAUAAGAAUCAUUGCCAACAGUGCUACCCACACAACAUCACAUGUCCCCUUGUCACACAGACACAUAAUUGUUAUUCUGUCAUUGAACGCAUGCGGUCUGCGAUACGCAACCCUCCACAGACUAGCGAGACGGGGUUUGAUUGGCUGAACUCAGUACUUGGGGGAUGGGGCUCGUGGAUAUUAACCGUCUAUCUACCAAUAGGUGCAGUAAUUCUUCUUGCCUUGCUCAUUUUGCCUUGUAUUGUUUCUCUCAUUCGGAGCAGUCUCUCACACUCGUUGAAAUCGCUAAUGACCAAACGCUGAUGUUGACAAAGACUGAGUACGAUCCCUAUGAUGACCAACCUGACUUGUGUCCUAAACCUGACUGGGUAUCAGAUCCUCCCAGCGACACCGACGAUGACGACCCAUUGACAUUCAUUUCACACCUAUUGUAAAUAUGCAUUUGACCAUGACGACUCUCAUUUAACUCUAAAAUAAGCUUGCUUGACUACAGGAUAUUUUAUAUCUGCAAAAACAGCCUUAGCGCUUUCAUUAUGUCUGUUUUAUGAUGAAUUCAGUUGAACCAUGAAAGGAUUCUGAAGUUCUGAUGUACUCAUAGUAUUUGCUUUAUGCUUUAUUCUAUCCUGUAUUAACCAUCUUUCUGAAAUAAACCUUUUUUUACCUUCA